Molecule: ribosomal RNA, 403 nt
Filed under: uncultured soil bacterium
Lineage: Bacteria
Description: bacterial SSU rRNA
Rfam family: Bacterial small subunit ribosomal RNA
Source: RNAcentral
CCUACUCUUGUAUCCUCCUUUUGACUUUCAGAGAUGAUUGUCUUCGGUUCGGCCGGGGGAGUGACAGGUGCUGCAUGGCUGUCGUCAGCUCGUGUCGUGAGAUGUUGGGUUAAGUCCCGCAACGAGCGCAACCCUCAUCGUAUGUUGCCAGCAUUUAGUUGGGCACUCAUGCGAGACUGCCGGUGUUAAGCCGGAGGAAGGUGGGGAUGACGUCAAAUCAUCAUGCCCCUUAUGCUUAGGGCUACACACGUGCUACAAUGGGUGGUACAGAGGGCAGCGAAGUCGUGAGGCCAAGCUAAUCCCUUAAAGCCAUUCUCAGUUCGGAUUGUAGGCUGAAACUCGCCUACAUUAAGCUGGAGUUACUAGUAAUCGCAGAUCAGAAUGCUGCGGUGAAUGCGUUCCC